RNAcentral lists this ribosomal RNA (253 nucleotides) under uncultured bacterium. RNAcentral's name for it is "partial 16S ribosomal RNA". It matches the Rfam family "Bacterial small subunit ribosomal RNA", at positions 524 to 776 of the family's 1533-position model. The record is from RNAcentral.
UACGUAGGGUGCGAGCGUUGUCCGGAAUUAUUGGGCGUAAAGGGCUCGUAGGCGGUUUGUCGCGUCGGGAGUGAAAACACCGGGCUUAACUCGGUGCUUGCUUUCGAUACGGGCAGGCUAGAGGUAGGUAGGGGAGAAUGGAAUUCCCGGUGUAGCGGUGAAAUGCGCAGAUAUCGGGAGGAACACCGGUGGCGAAGGCGGUUCUCUGGGCCUUACCUGACGCUGAGGAGCGAAAGCGUGGGGAGCGAACAGG